Long non-coding RNA from Gadus macrocephalus (Pacific cod), 1251 nucleotides. RefSeq lists it as uncharacterized. The record is from RefSeq and is a predicted model, not a curated record. The transcript is spliced from 2 exons. NCBI's taxonomy places the organism in Eukaryota, Metazoa, Chordata, Actinopteri, Gadiformes, Gadidae.
UACUUAAAGGGACUCUCACCUUUGUUGCAUUUGAGAAUUACAGCACAUUCAAAUCAUCCCGCCUUCCUCCAAUGCCCCACCCCCUAAGCUACUGUAACGACCUCGCCGGUGACAUAAUGAUGUCGAGUCAUUAGUAGUUGAAGGUAGUUUUAAUGAACCAAAACCAGGUCACUGAAACCCGUAACAUUGUAACCAACGGCAGAAAACCGACACAAAACAAACCCCGGUUACCCCGGCAACCCCCAACACGGUCUCACUCGCGUGCAGGCCCCCACCCUCCUGUUCUUCCAAGGCCCUCCCCCAGCUGACCUAAUGAUUCGCCCCCACGCUGAUUGACAAGAAGAACAUUACAAUACAUGCACACAGAACAACUGGCAUAACGGACAACGAAAUAUAAUGUAACACAUAACACACAAAGUAUUUAACUGUCCCAGGGUCGCUACAGUACAAAAGUUCUAGACUCCCAUGGGUUAUGUUUAGACUCCCAUGGGUUAUGUUUAGACUCCCAGGGGUCAUAAUAUCUACCAUCCUGGAGCUCCAGAUUAGCGGGACAACGUCGCGUCUGAGCCCGAAAUGGGUCCCGUAAUCGGACUGAGUGUGGCGGUUGGUUGCCAACGGUCUGGAGGUCUUCCUGGAGCUCCAGAGUAGCGGGACAACGUCGCGUCUGAGUCCGAAAAGGGUCCCGUAAUCGGACUGAGUGUGGCGGUUGGUUGCCAACGGUCUGGAGGUCUUCCUGGAGCUCCAGAGUAGCGGGACAACGUCGCGUCUGAGUCCGAAACGGGUCCCCUAAUCGGACUGAGUGGUGCGGUUGGUUGCCAACGGUCUGGAGGUCUUCCUGGAGCUCCAGAGUAGCGGGACAACUUCGCGUCUGAGUCCGAAACGGGUCCCCUUGUCGGACUGAGUGGUGCGGUUGGUUGCCAACGGUCUGGAGGUCCUGAGAAUCAUCCAGGGGAGCGGGACCACUUGGCUUCUGAGGCCGAAUCGGGUCCCCUUGUCGGACUGAAUGGUGCAGUUGGUGGCCAACAGUCUGGAGGUCUUCCUGAGGCUCCAGAGGAGGGUAACUGUGAGUCUGAGUCCGAGAUGAGUCCCCUAAUCGGACUGAAUGGUGCAGUUUCAGUACGCCGUGGACCACUUUGGUCUGCCAUCGUCAGUCGCUACGGUCGCUACUCGCUACUGUCUGCCGUGGAAUCAAAACAAACCCUCUAGUUGAGGACGCGCCUUGAUGACGCGGGCCCGAAUGCGCCACAAGAA